RNAcentral lists this unclassified non-coding RNA (307 nucleotides) under plant metagenome. RNAcentral describes it as "partial contains 5.8S ribosomal RNA, internal transcribed spacer 2, and large subunit ribosomal RNA". The stretch from base 1 to 106 matches the Rfam family "5.8S ribosomal RNA", at positions 50 to 154 of the family's 154-position model. The record is from RNAcentral.
GAAAUGCGAUAAGUAAUGUGAAUUGGCAGAAUUCAGUGAAUCAUCGAAUCUUUGAACGCACAUUGCGCCCGCCAGUAUUCUGGCGGGCAUGCCUGUCCGAGCGUCAUUUCAACCAUCAAGCCCCCGGGCUUGUGUUGGGGACCUGCGGCUGCCCGCAGGCCCUGAAAACCAGUGGCGGGCUCGCUGUCACACCGAGCGUAGUAGCAAUCACCUCGCUCAGGGCGUGCUGCGGGUUCCGGCCGUUAAACAGCCUUACAAAACCCAAGGUUGACCUCGGAUCAGGUAGGAAGACCCGCUGAACUUAAGC